GAGUUUGAUCCUGGCUCAGAUUGAACGCUGGCGGCAUGCCUUACACAUGCAAGUCGAACGGUAACAGGUCUUUCGGGAUGCUGACGAGUGGCGAACGGGUGAGUAAUACAUCGGAACGUGCCUAGUAGUGGGGGAUAACUACUCGAAAGAGUGGCUAAUACCGCAUGAGAUCUAUGGAUGAAAGCAGGGGACCUUCGGGCCUUGUGCUACUAGAGCGGCCGAUGGCAGAUUAGGUAGUUGGUGGGAUAAAAGCUUACCAAGCCUACGAUCUGUAGCUGGUCUGAGAGGACGAUCAGCCACACUGGGACUGAGACACGGCCCAGACUCCUACGGGAGGCAGCAGUGGGGAAUUUUGGACAAUGGGGGAAACCCUGAUCCAGCAAUGCCGCGUGCAGGAUGAAGGCCUUCGGGUUGUAAACUGCUUUUGUACGGAACGAAAAGUCUUGGGUUAA
RNAcentral lists this ribosomal RNA (452 nucleotides) under Comamonas sp. R-28223. RNAcentral's name for it is "bacterial SSU rRNA". It matches the Rfam family "Bacterial small subunit ribosomal RNA", at positions 9 to 463 of the family's 1533-position model. The record is from RNAcentral. Lineage: Bacteria; Pseudomonadati; Pseudomonadota; Betaproteobacteria; Burkholderiales; Comamonadaceae.